AACGAACGCUGGCGGCAUGCCUAACACAUGCAAGUCGAACGAGACCUUCGGGUCUAGUGGCGCACGGGUGCGUAACGCGUGGGAACCUGCCCUUAGGUUCGGAAUAACUCCCCGAAAGGGGUGCUAAUACCGGAUAAUGUCUUCGGACCAAAGAUUUAUCGCCUUUGGAUGGGCCCGCGUUGGAUUAGCUAGUUGGUAGGGUAAAAGCCUACCAAGGCGCCGAUCCAUAGCUGGUCUGAGAGGAUGAUCAGCCACACUGGGACUGAGACACGGCCCAGACUCCUACGGGAGGCGGCAGUGGGGGAUAUUGGACAAUGGGCGAAAGCCUGAUCCAGCAAUGCCGCGUGAGUGAUGAAGGCCUUAGGGUUGUAAAGCUCUUUUACCCGGGAUGAUAAUGACAGUACCGGGAGAAUAAGCUCCGGCUAACUCCGUG
Molecule: ribosomal RNA, 433 nt
Filed under: uncultured bacterium
Lineage: Bacteria
Description: partial 16S ribosomal RNA
Rfam family: Bacterial small subunit ribosomal RNA
Source: RNAcentral